This 227-nucleotide non-coding RNA is filed under the name Clostridium sp. RNAcentral's name for it is "T-box sequence". It matches the Rfam family "T-box leader". From Rfam's summary of the family: Uncharged tRNA acts as the effector for transcription antitermination of genes in the T-box leader family. T-boxes are found upstream of many aminoacyl-tRNA synthetase genes and some amino acid biosynthetic genes usually in Gram-positive bacteria. Lineage: Bacteria; Bacillati; Bacillota; Clostridia; Eubacteriales; Clostridiaceae. The record is from RNAcentral.
UUAAAGGCAAUGAGCGGAAAGAGUAGCAGGUUCUGAACUUUCAGAGAGAGGCUGCCACCGGCUGAAAGUGGCCUCAAGGGAGGAGUUUGUGAAGUGCAUCCGGGAGCUGAUUCUGCAAAAGUGACAGGCACUAGUAGCAGAGUACGGGGAGCAUACGUUACGUGUGAUAAGUGAAAGAAGAAAUUCUUUUAUUAGAGUGGAACCGCGGAUAUGACUUCGUCUCUUAC